GUUUCCGUAGGUGAACCUGCGGAAGGAUCAUUACCGAGUGCGGGAACCCAGUCGGGUCCCAAUCUCCCACCCGUGUCUACCACACCUAGUGUUGCUUUGGCGGGCCCACUCCUCCGGUGUUCCGCCGGGGGGGUCGUCCCGGGGCGCGGUGUGCCCCCGGGGCCCGUGCCCGCCAGAGGCACUCACUGUGAACGCUUUUGUGAAUGCGAGGAUUGUCUGAGUGACGAAAUGCAAUCGUUCAAAACUUUCAACAAUGGAUCUCUUGGUUCCGGCAUCGAUGAAGAACGCAGCGAAAUGCGAUAAGUAAUGUGAAUUGCAGAAUUCCGUGAAUCAUCGAAUCUUUGAACGCACAUUGCGCCCUCUGGUAUUCCGGGGGGCAUGCCUGUCCGAGCGUCAUUGCGAACCCUCAAGCACGGCUUGUGUGUUGGGCCGCCGUCCCCUCGUUUGGAGGGGACGGGCCUGAAAGGCAGCGGCGGCGUCGCGUCCGGUCCUCGAGCGUAUGGGGCUCUGUCACGCGCUCAAGGAGGGGUCCGGCCGGGGCCAUAGCCUCUGAAGGUCAAUUCUUCCAAGGUUGACCUCGGAUCAGGUAGGAGUACCCGCUGAACUUAAGCAUAUCAAUAAGCGGGAGGA
RNAcentral lists this ribosomal RNA (630 nucleotides) under Thermomyces lanuginosus. RNAcentral's name for it is "eukaryotic LSU rRNA". The stretch from base 243 to 396 matches the Rfam family "5.8S ribosomal RNA". Lineage: Eukaryota; Fungi; Ascomycota; Eurotiomycetes; Eurotiales; Trichocomaceae. The record is from RNAcentral.